RNAcentral lists this non-coding RNA (24 nucleotides) under Arabidopsis thaliana (thale cress). The record is from RNAcentral. Lineage: Eukaryota; Viridiplantae; Streptophyta; Magnoliopsida; Brassicales; Brassicaceae.
GUAACGACCAGAAACUCAGAUAAG